GGGUACGUAGUGUAGUGGUUUGAGCACUGUACCACUACUCUGGAGACCAGGUUUUGAAUCCCUGCUUGGCCA
Molecule: non-coding RNA, 72 nt
Organism: Phrynosoma platyrhinos (Desert horned lizard)
Lineage: Eukaryota; Metazoa; Chordata; Lepidosauria; Squamata; Phrynosomatidae
Source: the annotation of a GenBank genome assembly